This 253-nucleotide ribosomal RNA is filed under the name uncultured bacterium. Its description in RNAcentral is "partial 16S ribosomal RNA". It matches the Rfam family "Bacterial small subunit ribosomal RNA", at positions 524 to 776 of the family's 1533-position model. The record is from RNAcentral.
UACGUAGGGAGCAAGCGUUGUUCGGAUUUACUGGGCGUAAAGGGCGCGUAGGCGGCAAAUUAAGUCAGCUGUGAAAUCUCCGAGCUUAACUCGGAACGGUCAGCUGAUACUGAUCUGCUAGAGUGCGGAAGGGGCAAUCGGAAUUCUUGGUGUAGCGGUGAAAUGCGUAGAUAUCAAGAGGAACACCUGAGGUGAAGACGGGUGCUGGGCCGACACUGACGCUGAGUGCGCGAAAGCCAGGGGAGCAAACGGG